RNAcentral lists this long non-coding RNA (4048 nucleotides) under Nicotiana benthamiana. RNAcentral's name for it is "long non-coding RNA (NBEN_LNC039111)". The record is from RNAcentral. Lineage: Eukaryota; Viridiplantae; Streptophyta; Magnoliopsida; Solanales; Solanaceae.
GAUGAAUCCCCUCUAUUAAACUCAACAAUAAUAACAACUAUUAGAAACCAGUAGUAACAAGUUCAAACUAGGAGAAUUUUAUCUAUCAAUUUACUCCAAAAACUUCACAAAAGCUGCAAACGUCAACAAGACAAGCUUCAAAACUCCAUUGUCUUAUCACAAAGAUAAUUGAUAUUUAAUGCAGGAUUUUCUUUCAAACAUUGGCCCACAAAAAAUUCAUAGAUUGAAUUAAAAUUACCAAACGAUACACCAACAAACAAAGACUUAUCUCAACAGAACUUUCACCAGCAUAAAAGAAGUUUGACAAGAGAAUUCAAACUUGAACUCUAAGAAUUUAAAUAGUGGAGUCCAUUGACACAACUCAAUUCACACAAUUUCCAACAAGCAACUUCUGAAUUUUAAAACUAAACUAUGUGGCUAAUAGCAGCUAGAAAAGCAAAAUUUGGCUAUGACCCCGCAAAGCCAAGAAUCUAAGAUUUACAAGGAAAACCGAACCCUAUGUGGGUUGCUUACGUAUCACGCCUCGAAAGACGAGAAUCAGGUUUGCGUAAUUCAGGAAAAUUGGAUACGGGCGAUAAAUAAUGAAAAAACAGCUAAUUUUUUAAAGAAAACAUUUUCUUUUGUCUCUUUUUUUUAAAAAAAAAAGAUGAAACAUGUAAAUGCUCUUGGAUUCUUUUUCCUUUUUCCUUUUUUUUUUGAUUUUCAGGAAAUUAUAAUAAAAGGUGAGAAAUAUUUUUUUUAAAUUAUUCACAUAUCCUUUGUCUCUUUUUUUAAUAGAAAUAUAACAAAAAUAUAACUAAAUCCUAUUUGCUUUACUUUCGCACUUCACCCUCUCUUUUCUUUUUCUUGUUUUUCUCUUUUUUUAUUUUUUCAUUUACCCUCAGCUAUCAUUGGUCCGCCAAAUGACCCUUUUACCCUUGGAGAAAUGCAACAUAUAUCAUAUUAGGAUGCAUCAGGAUGGUCUGUUAUUUUGGGUACAUCUAUCCUAGACGGACCCAACCCUUGUGUAGAGAGCCCUAAGUCAAAUGCAUGAUGCAGAUAAGCGUUCCUACUAGGGAUCCAUCAUGAGGUUUUGCUACACUAAGUUCAGCACCUGGGUAUUUGUUUUAGACUGUGUACCCGAGCGGAAAACUUGAGUCGAGGAGGGGAAUAAAUGUUCUUACUAGGGCUCCGGCAUGAGGUUAAGUUAUUCUAAGUUAGAACCUUGGUAUAGGGUCUAGACUUUGUACCCGAGCGGACAACUCGAGUCGAGGAGGGGGCUACGUACUGGGGACCCGCAAGAUCAUCCGGCUUUGUAACUUGUCCGAGCCUCUUUCUUAUUUUAAGGUAUGACACUAAUAGACUAGGAAGUCUCGACCAGUGAGAACAUCCCCGAAGAUAGAGAGAGAAGGGUUUCAUAGCAGUUUAUAUACAGUUCAACUAAUAACAAAGCGGUAAAGGCAUCAUUUGCACAUUAAGUCAACAUGUAAAAUCACAUAAUGAACAAAGCAAAAUACAACAAUUAUUCUAAGCUCGAAUUCUUAAACCAUGAACCAGAUAUUCUGGGUUAGAGCAAAUGUCUCCCCAUCAGAAUCGGCACAGCUGUCACACCUCCUUUUGGCUAUCCACAACCCGGUGAAGGGCGUAGAUAGAGGGAGUUUUUCAAAUUUAAGGACAAUUGAAACAGGAUUCAAUUAUUUAAGAGAAUUUCAGAGUCGCCACUUGGGAGAUUUAUGGUGUCCCAAGUCACCGCUUAGAAUCCCGAAUCGAGGAAAGAAUUACUCUGUUUAACAGUCCGCGAACCAUAAAUCCGAGUAAGGAAUUCUGUUAACCCGGGAAAAGGUGUUGGGCAUUCCCGAGUUCCGUGGUUCUAGCACGGUCACUCAACUGUUAUAUUUUGCUUAAAUUAUUUGAUUUUAUACAUGUUUUAACUUAUGUGCUUCUUAACUUUUUAACCACUUUUAUUAUUAUUAUUAUUAUUAUUAUUAUUAUUAUUAUUAUUAUUAUUAUUANNNNNNNNNNNNNNNNNNNNNNNNNNNNNNNNNNNNNNNNNNNNAUGUUUUAACUUAUGUGCUUUUUAACCUGAAACCGCUUUUAUUAUUAUUUUUCUUUUUAAAAAGGAUUGCAACGACGUUAAAACAUGCCUUGAACCACGUCACAUAAAUGCACCCGUGGUUUUUAACACAUUUUGAAUUGGGAUCCGGAUUUGGGUCACAUAAAUGUGCACCCAAAUUAGGAAAGUAAUGUUAUUAAACACGCGUCUAAAGCAACUACGCGUUGACACUUUGCGAGGGCCAUGGAAUUCGCUAAAUGGCACGCAUCGGAAUCUAAGGAUAAACAAAAAUAAUUUAAACGAGGACCAUGCAUUUGAGAUUUUUCGACACGACACACCUCCAUUUAUUCAAGUCCAAGCUAACAUAAUUAAAUAGGUUCAUACCAAUAUAAUUAAUCCAAUAUCCCUUUUGAUAUGAUUUAACACAUAUUGAUUCAAACGAAUUCAAACAACCUAAUUCAUUCUAUUGAGUGUGCAGGAUAAACAAUAAGACAAAACUUUUCUCAGCUUGCCCGUGAUCUAGGGAAUGCUGGCUUUCUAAUAGCUUUACAACAACUAAAUCAACAAGAUUCUUUUCCUUCCUACUCAAAUUUGAACAUGCCAAUGAAAGUUUGAGAAUUGGUGACAAAUCAGCUCAAAAUAGAACAGAAAUCCAUCGUGUUCAUCAAUGAGCAUUUGUGCACAUUAUUACAUGAACAUUUCAGUAACUUCCCAUUGAAUCAUGUAAACGCAUUUAGCGAAGCAACAACAACUCAUGAGCUCAACAACGGUAAAACACAAACCUAAAAGGAUCCAGAUUCAAUCCGGAAUCACAAGAGUCCUCCUUGAACACACAAUACAUGGAUCAAAAACCAAGUUCUAAUCCAAAUAGCCGAGGCGAUAACAUAUAAGGCGAAUAGACCAACUAAUUCAAGCAACUUCCAUUUUACUUGUAUUCACAAAUAAUUCAAGUUCUAAUCCAAAUAGCUGAGGCGAUAAAAUAUAAAGCAAACAGACCAACUAAUUCAAACAACUUCAAUUUUACUUGUAUUCACAAAUAAUUAAAGACUACAUUAAGAGGAAAGAAGAACUGAACCUUCAAUGGUCUUUAAUUAACAAAGAUUACAGCAAAUACACGGAUGAAAGAAAAUACACUCUCAUUCAUUCAAGCAGCAAGGUUGUUUUCCAAAACUAAUGUUUCCUCAAUACAAGCAGUAAGUCGUUUUACCACUAACAUCUACAUCGACAAGUGAGUUAGGACAGCUUCAAACUCGACUCAAUUGAAAUUCAACCAAGAAAACCAAUCAAACAUACGGUAUAUUCAUGUGAGGCUCGACGGAUUCGAACACUAACUCAGUCAUCACAAAAUCACAUCACAACCCCAAUAUCUCCAAGCAAAACAAAUUCGAAAUCACAGACCUUAGCCAUGGAAGUAAAACAGAGUACAGGUAACGGAAAUUUAACGAAAUUAAAUAAUAAAGGAAAAAUAGAAUAUGAACCUGAAAAUCAAGCUUCCAAUUUAGCGGAAGUGUUCAGCAAUUACACAAGACGCAUAAGCCAGCAAAAGAUUAGCUCAGGCGGAAGCGAACAGAUUUGGAAACAAAUAGAGAACGAUGAGUGAAACCUCAAUGACGACCUCAGCGGCUCGUCGACUGGAAAACUCUCAUGUAAUAUCACUGUUUCUGUUGUAUUCCCAGUUAGUUGUACGUGUCUGUGUGUGUGUUUACCAGUGCUGUCGUGAAUGGAAAAAAUGGAAGAAACAGCAGGGGUCGUUUGGGACCGUCGAACGUUACAGAACCAGGGGGUUUGAAGAAGACGGGAAAGGGGGCUCAGGUCGUUUCUCUGGUGUUGGCGUCGCUGGUCCUGUGAGCUUGUGAAGGUGGGAUCGUAUAUAUGUGUGUGACGAAGAAGAUGAUCGAGAGAGGGUGGUUGUCUUCAAAAGAUGCGCCGCUUUUCUGUUGUGUAUCAGCAUGUAUUGUAUGUAUUGUAUUGUGUAGGUGUGCUUUUUUUUUUGUGAAGCAGCCGUCAGCCCUUUUC